RNAcentral lists this ribosomal RNA (899 nucleotides) under uncultured bacterium. Its description in RNAcentral is "bacterial SSU rRNA". It matches the Rfam family "Bacterial small subunit ribosomal RNA", at positions 8 to 916 of the family's 1533-position model. The record is from RNAcentral.
AGAGUUUGAUCCUGGCUCAGGAUGAACGCUGGCGGCGUGCUUAACACAUGCAAGUCGAACGAUGACCCGGUGCUUGCACCGGUGAUUAGUGGCGAACGGGUGAGUAACACGUGAGUAACCUGCCCUUAACUCUGGGGUAAGCCUGGGAAACUGGGUCUAAUACCGGAUAUGACUCCUCAUCGCAUGGUGGGGGGUGGAAAGCUUUAUUGUGGUUUUGGAUGGACUCGCGGCCUAUCAGCUUGUUGGUGAGGUAAUGGCUCACCAAGGCGACGACGGGUAGCCGGCCUGAGAGGGUGACCGGCCACACUGGGACUGAGACACGGCCCAGACUCCUACGGGAGGCAGCAGUGGGGAAUAUUGCACAAUGGGCGCAAGCCUGAUGCAGCGACGCCGCGUGAGGGAUGACGGCCUUCGGGUUGUAAACCUCUUUCAGUAGGGAAGAAGCGAAAGUGACGGUACCUGCAGAAGAAGCGCCGGCUAACUACGUGCCAGCAGCCGCGGUAAUACGUAGGGCGCAAGCGUUAUCCGGAAUUAUUGGGCGUAAAGAGCUCGUAGGCGGUUUGUCGCGUCUGCCGUGAAAGUCCGGGGCUCAACUCCGGAUCUGCGGUGGGUACGGGCAGACUAGAGUGAUGUAGGGGAGACUGGAAUUCCUGGUGUAGCGGUGAAAUGCGCAGAUAUCAGGAGGAACACCGAUGGCGAAGGCAGGUCUCUGGGCAUUAACUGACGCUGAGGAGCGAAAGCAUGGGGAGCGAACAGGAUUAGAUACCCUGGUAGUCCAUGCCGUAAACGUUGGGCACUAGGUGUGGGGGACAUUCCACGUUUUCCGCGCCGUAGCUAACGCAUUAAGUGCCCCGCCUGGGGAGUACGGCCGCAAGGCUAAAACUCAAAGGAAUUGACGG